Molecule: non-coding RNA, 21 nt
Filed under: Arabidopsis thaliana (thale cress)
Lineage: Eukaryota; Viridiplantae; Streptophyta; Magnoliopsida; Brassicales; Brassicaceae
Source: RNAcentral
UUGAGGUGGGUUUGUCGUUUG